This 433-nucleotide ribosomal RNA is filed under the name uncultured bacterium. Its description in RNAcentral is "partial 16S ribosomal RNA". It matches the Rfam family "Bacterial small subunit ribosomal RNA", at positions 29 to 507 of the family's 1533-position model. The record is from RNAcentral.
AACGAACGCUGGCGGCAUGCCUAAUACAUGCAAGUCGAACGAAACCUUCGGGGUUCUUGCCGCACUCAAGCGUAACGCGACCGAACCUGCACCUAGGGUCGGAAUAACUCCGCGACUGGGGUGCUAAUAUCGGAACAGGUCCUCGUACCCAAGAUAAAUCGACUUUGCAUGGGCCCGCGUUGGAUUGGCCAGUGGGUAGGGUAAAAGCCUACCACGGCGUCGAUUCAUAGCUUGUCUGGGAGAAUGAUCAGCCACACUGGGACUGAGACACGGCCGAGAAUCCUCCGGGAGGCAGGAGUGGGGAAUAUUGGACAAUGGGCGAAAGGAUGAUGCAGCUAUGCCGCGUGAGUGAUGAAGGCCUUAGGGUUGUAAUGCUCUUUUAACCGGGAUGAUAAUGACAGUACCGGGAGAAUAAGCGACGGCUAACUCCGUG